This 150-nucleotide unclassified non-coding RNA is filed under the name uncultured Gibberella. RNAcentral describes it as "sequence contains ITS2". The record is from RNAcentral. Lineage: Eukaryota; Fungi; Ascomycota; Sordariomycetes; Hypocreales; Nectriaceae.
CAACCCUCAAGCACAGCUUGGUGUUGGGAUUCGCGGGGUAACCCGCGGUCCCCAAAUCGAUUGGCGGUCACGUCGAGCUUCCAUAGCGUAGUAAUUUAUUCUCGUUACUGGUAAUCGUCGCGGCCACGCCGUUAAACCCCAACUUCUGAA